UACGAGGGGGGCGAGCGUUGUUCGGAAUUAUUGGGCGUAAAGGGUGCGUAGGCGGUUCCGCAAGUCCUGUGUGAAAUCUUCGGGCUCAACUCGAAGUCUGCACGGGAAACUGCGGGGCUUGAGUGUGGGAGAGGUGAGUGGAAUUCCCGGUGUAGCGGUGAAAUGCGUAGAGAUGUGGAGGAAUACCAAUGGCGAAGGCAGCCCCCUGGGAUAAUAUUGACGCUCAUGCACGAAAGCGUGGGGAGCAAACAGG
This 253-nucleotide ribosomal RNA is filed under the name uncultured bacterium. RNAcentral describes it as "partial 16S ribosomal RNA". It matches the Rfam family "Bacterial small subunit ribosomal RNA", at positions 524 to 776 of the family's 1533-position model. The record is from RNAcentral.